CAAGUCGAACGGUAACAGGAGAGAGCUUGCUCUCUUGCUGACGAGUGGCGGACGGGUGAGUAACGCGUGGGGAUCUAUCCUAGAGCGGGGGACAACCCGAGGAAACUCGGGCUAAUACCGCAUACACCUUACGAGGCAAAGUGGGCCUCUGUUUACAUGCUCACACUUUAGGAUGAACCUGCGUCCGAUUAGCUUGUUGGUAGGGUAAAGGCCUACCAAGGCGACGAUCGGUAGCUGGUCUGAGAGGACGAUCAGCCACACCGGGACUGAGACACGGCCCGGACUCCUACGGGAGGCAGCAGUGGGGAAUAUUGGACAAUGGGGGCAACCCUGAUCCAGCAAUACCGCGUGUGUGAAGAAGGCCUUCGGGUUGUAAAGCACUUUCAGUGGGGAAGAAAAGCUGAUGGUUAAUACCCAUCAGUCUUGACGUUACCCACAGAAGAAGCACCGGCUAACUCUGUGCCAGCAGCCGCGGUAAUACAGAGGGUGCGAGCGUUAAUCGGAAUUACUGGGCGUAAAGCGCGCGUAGGUGGAUAGUUAAGUCGGAUGUGAAAGCCCUGGGCUCAACCUAGGAACUGCAUCCGAAACUGGCUGUCUAGAGUAUGGUAGAGGGU
This 614-nucleotide ribosomal RNA is filed under the name uncultured bacterium. Its description in RNAcentral is "bacterial SSU rRNA". It matches the Rfam family "Bacterial small subunit ribosomal RNA", at positions 58 to 659 of the family's 1533-position model. The record is from RNAcentral.